This 294-nucleotide long non-coding RNA is filed under the name Monodelphis domestica (gray short-tailed opossum). RNAcentral's name for it is "lncRNA (ENSMODG00000042347.1)". The record is from RNAcentral. Lineage: Eukaryota; Metazoa; Chordata; Mammalia; Didelphimorphia; Didelphidae.
CAGAGCCGAAGCUUGGCUUUGGCUGAGGAGCUGUGAGAGUGUGAGGCUCUGCAUUUUGUGCACCUUUGAGAGAUCGUCUUCCUCUGAGGAAUUUCAUUGCAUCUAAUCAAUUGUGGUUCCGAAGUUCCUGAAGAUCACUGAGUCCGUUCGGCAGGUGGUCUACAGAGGAUUCAGCUGGUAUCUUUCCUUGGUGUACACAGUACUAGGAUAACUCAACCGGCUGGCUUGUCAAUUUGCCAGCUGUGGUGGUGGGACUAAAGGAAGAGGAUUUCACUUAGAAGCAAAUUCUGGCUC